Pteropus alecto (black flying fox) is the source of this 74-nucleotide non-coding RNA. Lineage: Eukaryota; Metazoa; Chordata; Mammalia; Chiroptera; Pteropodidae. The record is from Rfam.
GGCUCCAUAAUGUAGUGGUUAGCACGUCUGCUUUACACUCAGAAGGUCCUGGGUUCACCUCCCAGGUGGAGCCA